This is a long non-coding RNA of Sebastes umbrosus (honeycomb rockfish), 738 nucleotides long. RefSeq lists it as uncharacterized. The transcript has 2 exons. NCBI's taxonomy places the organism in Eukaryota, Metazoa, Chordata, Actinopteri, Perciformes, Sebastidae. The record is from RefSeq and is a predicted model, not a curated record.
GGCCAAAAAAACAAGAUAGUGAUGGCCAAAAACCAAGAUGGCGACGGCCAAGAACCGACAUGGCGACGGCCAACAACCAACAUGGCGACGGCCAACAACCAACAUGGCUACGGCCAAAAACCAACAUGGCGACGGGCCAACAACCAAAAUGGUAAUCGCCAAAAACCAAAAUGGUAAUCGCCAAAAACCAACAUGACUAUGGCCAAAAACCAACAUGGCGAAAGCCAAAAACCAACAUGGCAACGGGCCAACAACCAAAAUGGUAAUCGCCAAAAACCAACAUGGCGAAAGCCAAAAACCAACAUGGCAACGGGCCAACAACCAAAAUGGUAAUCUCCAAAAACCAACAUGGCGAAAGCCAAAAACCAACAUGGCAACGGGCCAACAACCAAAAUGGUAAUCGCCAAAAACCAACAUGGCGAAGGCCAAAAACCAACAUGGCGAAGACCAAAAACCAACAUAGCGAAGGCCGAAAACCAACAUGGCGACGGCCAAAAACCAAGUUGGCGCCAGCCAAAAACCAGGAUGGCAAUGGCUAAAGAAUGAAAGAAAACAAAAGUUUUCCUGUUUAAUUCCAUUCUUAUUUUAAAUUCAUUGGAUUAAACAUUGUCUGUUUAUAGAUGUUGUUAUUUGUUUUAUUAUAUUUAUGUUUUGUCAUUCAGUUUAUUCUGUUUUUAAUAUGUUUGAUGUCUAUGUGUGAGUUUUGCUGACAUGGAAAAUAAACAAUUCUUUGUUAGU